GGCAUCGUUUUUUAUUGAAAACUCCGGUGGAUAGAGAUGGGCACGCGCAAGAUUAGAUAGUUGGUAGGGUAACGGCCUACCAAGUCAGUGAUCUUUAGGGGGCCUGAGAGGGUGAUCCCCCACACUGGUACUGAGACACGGACCAGACUCCUACGGGAGGCAGCAGUGAGGAAUAUUGGACAAUGGGUUAGCGCCUGAUCCAGCCAUCCCGCGUGAAGGACGACGGCCCUAUGGGUUGUAAACUUCUUUUGUAUAGGGAUAAACCUACUCUCGUGAGAGUAGCUGAAGGUACUAUACGAAUAAGCACCGGCUAACUCCGUGCCAGCAGCCGCGGUAAUACGGAGGGUGCAAGCGUUAUCCGGAUUUAUUGGGUUUAAAGGGUCCGUAGGCGGAUCUGUAAGUCAGUGGUGAAAUCUCACAGCUUAACUGUGAAACUGCCAUUGAUACUGCAGGUCUUGAGUGAGGUAGAAGUAGCUGGAAUAAGUAGUGUAGCGGUGAAAUGCAUAGAUAUUACUUAGAACACCAAUUGCGAAGGCAGGUUACUAUGUCUUAACUGACGCUGAUGGACGAAAGCGUGGGGAGCGAACAGGAUUAGAUACCCUGGUAGUCCACGCCGUAAACGAUGCUAACUCGUUUUUGGGUCUUUAAGAUUCAGAGACUAAGCGAAAGUGAUAAGUUAGCCACCUGGGGAGUACGAACGCAAGUUUGAAACUCAAAGGAAUUGACGGGGGCCCGCACAAGCGGUGGAUUAUGUGGUUUAAUUCGAUGAUACGCGAGGAACCUUACCAAGGCUUAAAUGGGAAUUGAUCGGUUUAGAAAUAGACCUUCCUUCGGGCAAUUUUCAAGGUGCUGCAUGGUUGUCGUCAGCUCGUGCCGUGAGGUGUUAGGUUAAGUCCUGCAACGAGCGCAACCCCUGUCACUAGUUGCCAUCAUUCAGUUGGGGACUCUAGUGAGACUGCCUACGCAAGUAGAGAGGAAGGUGGGGAUGACGUCAAAUCAUCACGGCCCUUACGCCUUGGGCCACACACGUAAUACAAUGGCCGGUACAGAGGGCAGCUACCUAGCGAUAGGAUGCAAAUCUCGAAAGCCGGUCUCAGUUCGGAUUGGAGUCUGCAACUCGACUCUAUGAAGCUGGAAUCGCUAGUAAUCGCGCAUCAGCCAUGGCGCGGUGAAUACGUUCCCGGGCCUUGUAC
Molecule: ribosomal RNA, 1193 nt
Filed under: Chryseobacterium sp. 57D
Lineage: Bacteria; Pseudomonadati; Bacteroidota; Flavobacteriia; Flavobacteriales; Weeksellaceae
Also listed under: 1 other name
Description: bacterial SSU rRNA
Rfam family: Bacterial small subunit ribosomal RNA
Source: RNAcentral